ACAGCCAGCUUCCCACGCCUUCUGCCACGCCUUUCUGACCCAAAGCUUACAUCUUCUCAACCAUGAUAGAGCAAUCCCUUAGAACCGUAAGGCAGAAGGAAAGCCUGCAUUGCUUCUUGUUGGGCAUAAUGUCACAGCUAUGAGAAGUAAUAAACACAGCCCAUACCGUCACGAUAAGGUCACUGGUGUAGAAGGGAGUGUCAACAGACAUCGAGGGAAGAUGCAAGCAAGCAAACACCUUCAGCGACUAUGCAACUAAGAAGAGAUAAGAACAACAGAACCUCUCAUGCAUAACUAAUCAGAAGCAUCGCCCAGGGUCGCCUGCUUUGAUCUCCAAGAGCCGAGCUGAGGAGGCUGUUGCGGCUUGGGCGUGAACUUUGAAGGUCUGUGUGCUGCUCAGGAUGCCAAUGAGGAAAGCGGGCCCCACAACCCGCCAGCUCUGGCUUCAAGCAGCUUUUGCCCUGGAACACCAAGAACAGCGGAUACAGCAUGAGUCUUUGUUAUAUCAAAUCCGCACUAAGUGGAUUUCAGCCGCCUACACGACAUCAUUUUUUUUCCCUAUCCUGUAGAGUAUUUGAUCUGACUUGUGUCCUGUGUGCAUAUCUUUUCUGGUUCUUUAUGAACUUUUUUUUUUUAAAUAAAAAAAAUUACUUUGAACUUCA
Long non-coding RNA from Apodemus sylvaticus (European woodmouse), 662 nucleotides. RefSeq lists it as uncharacterized. The transcript is spliced from 2 exons. NCBI's taxonomy places the organism in Eukaryota, Metazoa, Chordata, Mammalia, Rodentia, Muridae. The record is from RefSeq and is a predicted model, not a curated record.